Cyanistes caeruleus (blue tit) is the source of this 1704-nucleotide long non-coding RNA. RefSeq lists it as uncharacterized. The record is from RefSeq and is a predicted model, not a curated record. Lineage: Eukaryota; Metazoa; Chordata; Aves; Passeriformes; Paridae.
AGUUCCAGCUGUUUGACCAGACAACAUCAUCUCUACAGGCAGCAGUGUACAACCUCCUUUAUUUUGUCUGCUCAUGAUUUCCUGCUCUUCGGCUUGACAAAGUGUCAAAGGCAGGCCUAGGGUUCUUCACAAUUUUUCUGCAAGAUGAACAUUUUCUGAGCGCUCUGGCAACUGCAGGAAUUAGGACCGAUUUCCAGGUGAAUCUUUUCAGUGAAAACAGCCCACCUGCCUGUUUUUACAUGGAUUUGAAGCACUACAGCGAGACAUAGACACAACGGGAGCAGGGAAGGCCCCGGCAGCCAGGUCACAGGUCAGCACAGAGGACAAACCCCUGCUUCCCUGAAAAGGAUUGAAAUGUCGUAAGUGCAGCUCCAGCAGCUUCCAGAACGUGCCAAUUCCUUCUGAAAAAGUGGGCUUGGUGAACCACACCUGCAGUGACACGUGACUGACAGUCAAUCAGAGCUCAUCUGCGUCCAUGCCAUCGGGCUGUGCUGGGAGAAACACUUGAGCUGGCUGAGUGCUCUCCAGAAGCAGUUCAGGGACAGGCUUGGCCACAACACAGCCUCCCAACUUCACCUUCCCUGACCCUGACAAGGUAACUGCAGCGGAGAAAAGAUGUGUUCAAAGAAGGAAAUAAGGAAGGCAUCAGGAAAGACAGAGGAAGCCAAAUAAUCCCCACAAUGCUUGUGUGAGCUUCAUUUCUCUACAAGAUUUCCAGAAGAGCAAUUUCAAUUUUGCAUCCUCACCACAAGCACCUUUGUAUUUUGUACAAAAUUGUGUCAUUCAUCUAUGUGCUUACAAAGAUGAAAUAGCAGCUGGAACACAAGACUAAAACUGCUUUAAUUCUCAGAAGAAGAAACCCCUGUGGAGGUACAAGGUGCAGGGAGCAUACAGACUCUUUGCCCUGCACUCAAGACCACUUACCUCUCCUCAGCUGGCAGAUGACAACCACCUGCAGCAGCUUAAGCACAUCCCAGAAAUGCAUUUCAGUGGAUUUUCCCAACCACAGAGAACCAUCUCAACUCCAAGGAAACAGAGAUUGUCUCUCACACACCUGUAUGCUGUUUUUAUCCUGCUGACUCUCACUCCUCUUUUCUCACACCCAGCCAGAUGAAGCAGCCAUCUCCACCUGGGUUUCCCUGUUGCCACCAGAUCACAGUCCCAGUGCUGAGACAGAAUCCUGUUUCCCCAGUCCACCUCAGAGCUCAGUCCUGAGCUUUGCACAAGCCAAUGAUGUGCUCCAGGAAAGGGAAAUGGUGGAGGUGUGAUGGGAAAAUGUCCAAAAGGCAGUAAUGCUGUGAUCUUAACAUUUACUUAUAUUUAAAAAGACAUCUGUGAAGUCCUGCCUCUGGGCAGAUUUCUGUCUCUCUCCCCUGAAAGUGACUGCAUGUCCCACGCUCCAGAUUCAUCCCAAAGCCCUCAGAGAUCAGGACAAGCCCAGUUUAGCCAGGAGCAGGUAUGUUACCUGCCCUUUCUAAGACUUAAGCCAGCAACCCAGCCAAAGAACAGUGUCACCACCAGCUUUCCUGAGCGCACCUGCAUAGAGAAGUAGCCUAAGGAACCAGCUUGUGGACUUGACUGGAAGAUGAAAUUUUCAGCCUUUUGAAAAGGUUUCCUUCCUCUCUUGUCUCUUUGUGGACCUAUGGCAGCUUUUGAAAAAUAAAACAAUGAGGAAAUGUGGAGAAAAACAUAGAUGCCCGUUUG